Molecule: unclassified non-coding RNA, 345 nt
Filed under: soil metagenome
Description: partial contains 5.8S ribosomal RNA, internal transcribed spacer 2, and large subunit ribosomal RNA
Rfam family: 5.8S ribosomal RNA (bases 1-120)
Source: RNAcentral
GAUGAAGAACGUAGCGAAAUGCGAUACGUAAUGUGAAUUGCAGAAUUCAGUGAAUCAUCGAGUCUUUGAACGCACAUUGCGCCCCCUGGCAUUCCGGGGGGCAUGCCUGUCCGCGCGUCAUUGCUGCCCUCAAGCACGGCUUGUGUGUUGGGCCUCCGUCCUCCUCCCGGGGGACGGGCCCGAAAGGCAGCGGCGGCACCGCGUCCGGUCCUCGAGCGUAUGGGGCUUCGUCACCCGCUCUUGUAGGCCCGGCCGGCGCUUGCCGACACAUCAAUCUUUUUUCCAGGUUGACCUCGGAUCAGGUAGGGAUACCCGCUGAACUUAAGCAUAUCAAUAAGCGGAGGA